GGUCUGUCAAGUCGGAUGUGAAAUCCCCGGGCUCAACCUGGGAACUGCAUUCGAAACUGGCAGGCUUGAGUCUUGUAGAGGGGGGUAGAAUUCCAGGUGUAGCGGUGAAAUGCGUAGAGAUCUGGAGGAAUACCGGUGGCGAAGGCGGCCCCCUGGACAAAGACUGACGCUCAGGUGCGAAAGCGUGGGGAGCAAACAGGAUUAGAUACCCUGGUAGUCCACGCCGUAAACGAUGUCUACUUGGAGGUUGUGCCCUUGAGGCGUGGCUUCCGGAGCUAACGCGUUAAGUAGACCGCCUGGGGAGUACGGCCGCAAGGUUAAAACUCAAAUGAAUUGACGGGGGCCCGCACAAGCGGUGGAGCAUGUGGUUUAAUUCGAUGCAACGCGAAGAACC
This 394-nucleotide ribosomal RNA is filed under the name Salmonella enterica. RNAcentral's name for it is "bacterial SSU rRNA". It matches the Rfam family "Bacterial small subunit ribosomal RNA", at positions 577 to 970 of the family's 1533-position model. Lineage: Bacteria; Pseudomonadati; Pseudomonadota; Gammaproteobacteria; Enterobacterales; Enterobacteriaceae. RNAcentral also lists the same sequence under 1 other name. The record is from RNAcentral.